Long non-coding RNA from Belonocnema kinseyi, 264 nucleotides. RefSeq lists it as uncharacterized. The transcript is spliced from 4 exons. Lineage: Eukaryota; Metazoa; Arthropoda; Insecta; Hymenoptera; Cynipidae. The record is from RefSeq and is a predicted model, not a curated record.
AUUUUAAGAGGCUGGAAAAAACUCUGCAGCACUCAGCAGCAGAUUUAGAAGUAGCAGAAGAAUGGCAGUCAAAAACUGCCGAACUUAUUGAAGGAAUACGCACCUGAAGAUCCAUUCAAUGCUGACGAAUUUGCAUUACUUUAUCGAUAAAUGCCAAGUUCGGGCACACUUUUCGCAUUUGUACUUCCUCUCUGGUUCCAGUUCUGAUUCCUGAAUUUUCUUUUCCUUAUGGAGCGGCAGUUGAUAUUUUAAUGACAAAUCCGG